Molecule: ribosomal RNA, 253 nt
Filed under: uncultured bacterium
Lineage: Bacteria
Description: partial 16S ribosomal RNA
Rfam family: Bacterial small subunit ribosomal RNA
Source: RNAcentral
UACGAGGGGGGCGAGCGUUGUUCGGAAUUAUUGGGCGUAAAGGGCGCGUAGGCGGUCGGAUAAGUCUUGUGUGAAAUCUUCGGGCUCAACUCGAAGUCUGCACAGGAAACUAUCUGGCUUGAGUGUGGGAGAGGUGAGUGAAAUUCCUGGUGUAGCGGUGAAAUGCGUAGAUAUCAGGAGGAACACCUGUGGCGAAAGCGGCUCACUGGACCACAACUGACGCUGAGGCGCGAAAGCUAGGGGAGCAAACAGG